RNAcentral lists this ribosomal RNA (231 nucleotides) under uncultured bacterium. RNAcentral describes it as "partial 16S ribosomal RNA". It matches the Rfam family "Bacterial small subunit ribosomal RNA", at positions 15 to 209 of the family's 1533-position model. The record is from RNAcentral.
GAUCAUGGCUCAGGAUAAACGCUGGCGGCGCACAUAAGACAUGCAAGUCGAACGGAAGUCGUUAUAAAAAGGAUUGAAGAUUUAUCUGAUUGAGAUUUUAUAACAAUGGCUUUAGUGGCGGACUGGUGAGUAACGCGUAAGCAAUCUGCCUGUUAGAGGGGAAUAACAAUGAGAAAUCAUUGCUAAUACCGCAUAUGCCAUAGUUAUCACAUGAUAAUAGUGGGAAAGGAG